AUGGAAAAAGUUCCAGGAUUAUAUCAGUAGGACCUGCUGGAUGGCCUCAAUACAAUUUGCAGCAGCAUAGCAACGAAGCAGGUGGAUCACAGAGUGAAAAGCAAUUAGGAUUCUCAGGAUCAACGCUCUAAUAUCUUUAAGAGGCCAAAAUUGUAACAAGAAACAUACCAUUAUCGGGGGAGGGAGGAGAUCGAAGAACUAAGGGAAAAGAAUUAUCAGAGACACGAAAUGGGAAGUAAGAGAGAAUAUGGGAGGGAUAAAACAUACAUGGUAUGCCACCUCUAGGGACAAACGUUGAUUGAUAUUAAUUGCAUCAUGCAUAUAGAUUGCAACAAGCUUAAAAUUUGUCACAGAUAGUGCUUUCUUGUGCUCUAUAUAUAACACAGAUAGCACUUCCAUUAACAGAGUCCAUUCAACAAGAAAAAGAAAUAUAGCACUUCCAUUAACAGAGUCCAUUCAACAAGAAAAAGAAAUCUAGGAGGUCUCACCAGAGCAGCAGAGAAGAAAUAAUAUGGUUUUUUGUCUCAUUACUUCCAUCUUCUUCAUGAAACAAGCCAAAAUUUGGCGCUUGAUUUUUCCUCUAAUUGGUGGGAGCAACUUCCGGCUGCUGCCUUCUUUUUGGACUAAUCCUUGCUUAGUGGAUCCUAAAGCCAUUGACGAAGCCCCAAGCUUCCUGUUCUCCUUUCUCAGUUUACCAAAUGCAAACAAAAUUGAAGUAUAGAGGGAAUUAGGGAAAAUCCAAAAAGUUCUGUUAAAGUUGGUUUGGUUAGUACUGUCUUCG
Molecule: long non-coding RNA, 781 nt
Filed under: Populus trichocarpa (black cottonwood)
Lineage: Eukaryota; Viridiplantae; Streptophyta; Magnoliopsida; Malpighiales; Salicaceae
Description: long non-coding RNA (PTRI_LNC001428)
Source: RNAcentral